Molecule: RNA transcript, 6698 nt
Organism: Strigops habroptila (Kakapo)
Lineage: Eukaryota; Metazoa; Chordata; Aves; Psittaciformes; Psittacidae
Gene: NUP58
Gene name: nucleoporin 58
Exons: 14
Source: RefSeq, a predicted model, not a curated record
UGGUGCACUGCGGCGGGCGCGCGUAGGGAGCGUGGCUGGUACUCGCGCGGUCGCUGCUGCCGCUCGGUUCGAAGUUGUGGCCGGGCGCGAUGAGGCGCUGAGCAGCCGCCGCCGCGCCUGAGCACGCCGCCGCCACCGCUGCCCUCCCCCGGCUCCCGCCGCCGGGGCUCGCUGCCGCCUCCCGGCCCCUCUCUACGGCCGUUCCCGCCGCUGCCGCCAUGUCUGCGGGCUUCUCCUUCGGCGCGGGGACUCUGGGCUCCGCGGCGGCCGCCGCCGCCGGGACAGGAGGAGGAGGCGGGGGCGGGGGCUUUUCCUUCGGAGCCGCCACGCCGAGCUCAACAGGAGGACUUAAUUUUGGAACUCUGGGCUCUUCCACUGCUACAGCAACUACAUCAGCUCCUUCAGUGGGCUUCGGGAGUAGCCUUUUUGGAUCAAAAUCAACCACUGGCUUUACACUAGGAGGCACCAGUACAGCAGGAACAGCAACAACUAUUGCUGCAGGACUGACACUAGGUACGCCUGCCACCACAUCAGCAGCUACCACAGGCUUUAGUUUAGGUUUCAACAAACCUGCAGGUUCGGCCACACCAUUUGCUUUACCUGUUACUUCUACCUCAGCGGGUGGCCUGUCAUUAUCGUCUGCUCUUACAUCGACUCCUGCAGCAGGAACUACUGGCUUUACAUUAAAUUUGGGUGGUACAACUGCUCCAACUACAACUGCCUCCACAGGCCUUUCCUUAGGAGGAGCCUUAGCGGGUUUAGGAGGUUCACUCUUCCAGAAUACAAGCACAGCAGCAACAGGGCUUGGGCAGAAUGCUUUGGGUUUGACUCUGGGUACAACUGCGACUCCUUCAACUACUGCCAAUGAAGGUCUUGGUGGCAUUGAUUUUAGUAGUUCUUCAGACAAAAAGAGUGACAAAACAGGCACAAGACCAGAAGAUAGCAAAGCACUAAAGGACGAAAAUCUACCUCCAGUAAUCUGUCAAGAUGUAGAAAAUCUACAGAAAUUUGUGAAAGAACAAAAACAAGUUCAGGAAGAAAUUAGUAGAAUGUCCUCUAAAGCAAUGCUUAAAGUACAAGAAGACAUUAAAGCUUUGAAACAACUUCUGUCUGUAGUUGCCAGUGGAUUACAGAGAAACACUCUUAAUAUUGACAAGCUGAAAGUGGAAACUGCACAGGAGCUAAAGAAUGCAGAAAUAGCUUUACGAACACAGAAAACUCCUCCUGGUCUCCAGCAUGAAAAUACAGCCCCAGCAGACUACUUCAGAAUCUUGGUUGAACAGUUUGAAGUACAGCUGCAGCAAUACAGGCAACAAAUAGAAGAACUGGAAAAUCAUCUUGCUACUCAAGCAAAUAAUUCACACAUAACUCCACAAGAUUUGUCUAUGGCAAUGCAGAAAAUCUAUCAAACAUUUGUAGCUUUAGCUGCACAACUUCAAUCAAUACAUGAAAAUGUAAAGAUGCUCAAAGACCAAUACCUUGGCUACAGGAAAACCUUUCUGGGAGAUGCCAUGGAUGUGUUUGAGGCAAGACGAACAGAAGCUAAGAAGUGGCAGAGCGCGCCACGUGUUACCACUGGACCGACCCCUUUCAGCAACAUACCAAAUGCAGCAGCCGUUGCGAUGGCUGCAACACUUACUCAGCAGCAACAGCCUGCUACAGGUCUGAGUGCAUUCAAGUUAUAGAUUAUUAGUGUUACAACAGUAGUAAAUUUGUGUAAAAUUUUCUAUGAAGUCUUCCUUUGUGUUAGACUAAAUCUAAACGUUGUGAUGAGCAAAGUUACUGAUACAUAGCCACUAGAAAAAUGCAGGGUAGACUUAGCAAUAAUUAUACAGCAGAUACUUAAUCUUGUGAAUUUACUUGUAUUAGUGAUAUUUACUGUAUUGUUCUAACUUACCCCUUGAAUGUGAGUCUUCACUCUUCAGUAACAUCUCUGAAUAUACAUAAUAUAGCCUCUUUCCAGAAUUGUAUGGUUAUAGUAAAUUAUUUCAAAAUGGUGAGGAGAGAAUAUCUAAAUGCAUAUUACCUUUUUCUUAUGUAAAAUUAAUAAUGCAUUUUUAUAUAGCACUUUGGAACUGUAAAAUGAAAAAUGCUGUAGAACAGGAAGGAUAGUGGAGCAAACAUCUCUAGAAUAGGAAGACAGAUGCCUGACUUUUUAUUCUAUAGCUAACUCCUUUGUCAGGGUGAUGUUGGAGCAGUUUUUGCUGACCAUUCUGCUGUUGCAAAUAAAUAUUAGAGAAAGUAGAGUGGAGCAGUGGUUCUGUUUGUGCAUGUGUAUAAGAGGAAGACCAAAACAGAGAAAACACAUCACCCACUGCUAAUGCAGAAUGGAUACGUAUGGCAAAGGAGAUAACUUAAGGCACCUUAGUUGACAUUGUUAUACUAACCAACGCUUUUCAGAGAGCGAUUCCUGAAUGUAGAGAAUUGAAUUGAUAUUUAAUCAUUUAACAGAAAUAAGAUAAUUUCCAUUUGAUUUUACUUGAACAUGGAUAUUCACUAAAUUAUUAAAAUCAUAGGUGACUUCAUUCUGCCGUCUACUUUCUAAAAUGUUUUUUAUCAUAGGUGUGCUGGAAGUCAUAUUAGCAUUUUUUUCCAUCUCUUGUUUUAUAGCAGCAGUCAUAUUUUGAAUGGUUUUAAUGAAGAGACCAUGCAGCAACCACCCUAAGUUUAACAAAUUAUUAGACUGUCCUUGUCUUCUCUGUAAAAGGAAAAUACAAUGUGCUUCCUGCCCUGGUCCUUCUAAACAGCAAGGAGACGGGUUUAAAAGACAAAUAUGCCAAAAUAUUUUUAAUACUACAAAAAAAUUUAGUCUUGAUGAAAUGUUUUCUAAAUUUCCGUCAUAGACCAGAGUCUUCCUGUUGCUGCUAUGUUAAUCUAUGAAAAUUUUGUAGAAGUGACAUCUGCAAGAGUCUGACUUCUAAACAGAAAACAUAAGAUAAUGUAACGUCAUGCUUCAGGGUUUUUAAUACAGAUAGAAGCGUGGCUUGUGCAGCUUAAUGUUGCCAAAGUAGUUCCUUCUCCCUUCAUCUUUUUCCCUGUCUCAUGUUUGGUUGUUUUUCCUAAAUACUCUCCAUGGUCAUUACAGGAUUAUUUGUAUAUGAAAGUCAUAUAUUUGGAAUGUCACAUUUAAAGUUAUACAUGUAAUCUUCAUGAAUUGGGGUGAGUGGUUUGAAUUUCCUCUUCAUUAGUCCAGAUUCAAGAGAACUUCAGUAGAUUGAUGUUUUGAGUGGCACUUCAAGAGUACUUAAAACUCCUAGAAAAUAGGGUUAGAUGGAUCUUGAAGUCAUUGUUUCUGUUCCUCUAGCUCAAAAGCAGGAUUAGUCAGGCCUGAACUGUUUCAGAGUUACCUGAAAGCCUUAAAAGCUUGCUAGAAAGGAAAAUUUCACAGCUUUCCUAAAUGACUGAUCUCAGUGCUUGACUUUUUCCUCACAACUUACAUGAAACUUCUUAGCUUCAGAUUAAGGCUGCCACUUUUUAUCUUACUAUUAGUGGAAAAGAAGAAUCUAUUCUUUCAGUUUUGCAGGAAUCUUUAAAUAUUUAAAUACUGCCUCCUCUUUCCUUGAGUUUUCGGAUGGCCAUUUGCUGCAGCAAAAGUGCAAAUGUUUUAAUGUUUUAACCUUGUAUUAUGUUAUGACUGAUAAACUAUCUGCUAGAAGUUAGUCACGCAUAUUUGUUUGCAAGAUCUUGAUCCUGAAGAGUGGGAUAGAUGAAGAAUGGUAGGAGGUUAUGAGAGAAAAGACUAUGAAAUGAGGUGUAUGUAAUGAGGGGUAGGGAAUGUCUGUGUAAUACUUGACCUGCUGUUGCUGUUCUUGAAGAUAAGAAUAAAACAAAAAAAUUAAUCUGGGCUUUAAAGUUUUUGACUAAACUCUAAUAUACGGUACUCCAGUAUUGAGGGAUCAGGAUGGUUAGUCUCUUUUUAAAAAAAAAUCUGAUGUUUACAUGGUUAAGUCUAUUUCGUAAGAUUAAGUUAGAGUUAGUUACUGUUUUUUCUCUGAAAAAGUUAAAUAAUUUAUUUUAAAUUUGUGUUCAAAAGUCAAAAGUUUGGUAGCUACAUCAAAGCUGUGGGAUCAGGGAAUGUUUCCCCAGUUCCUGGGUGUAGAUAUGCACCCUAUUUAUGUUCUCUCUGUAUGCCAAGACAUGUCUGGCUUCUAUUGAAAUAAAUAAAGUCAGUGGAUCCUGGCCAUAUGGAAGAAAGGGAGCAAAGAUGCACUCCACUGGUCUCCUGGGAUAGAUAAUCAGGACACCAGGACUGUGGCGUGCACACUGGAGCACAAUUUUGUGCAGUUUUUUGAAGCUAGAUUUAUUAUAAUUAUGCUUAAGUCUUGCCUGCACACAGCCUUUCUCCCUAGUUUAGCACUUUGAUCUGAGCACAGCUUUAUUGGUAGCAGUGAGGCUGGUCAUGCUUUACGCAGUAGCAGCUAGAGUUUUAACCAUUGCCUCACCUUCACUUUCCCUGAGCAAUCUUGAACAGCGUGGAAGUUAAAAUGAUACUGACUAGUCUACCUAUUAUUAUUGAUGGGACUAAAGUAGAAGAUUUUAAAGGAAACUAAAGCCUGGUGAACUAAGAGCUGUGAAUGCGUGAGGCUGAAAUGGAUGUUUUUCUGGUGAGACGAAGUUGUCUUAAAGAAAUGCUUUUCUUCAGUCUCACCUUUCCUCCUCUAAAAAAAUGUACCCCCACAACAACUUAGUUACUCUCUCCUUAACUUGUGAAGUGCAGAGUUAGUCAAAGCAUUAUCAAGCUAUUAGCACACUGUUAUGCUUUGACUUAGUAUGAGAUUGAAGUGCUUGUGGGAAGGAAUACUGAAAUCUUCAUAGCACUUAAUUUUUAUUGUGUAAUUUUAUAUUAACCUUGGUUAAAAUUUGUCAGUGUGUUAUUGUGUCAGAAUCAGAUCUAAGUUGUGACAUUAAACUUGUUCACUGUUAGGACCAGCUGUGAUUUCAAAAAAAUUGCAGAAUGUCACUUUAGGAAAUCUGGCUGACCUGUCUGGGCUCGUUGUAGUGGGUCCUGUUCAUUAAACUGAAAUGCUCUAUAGGGCAAUUAUAUCUAUAUCAAGUUUUAAAAUGUUAAAAUACUUGUUAUAAUGAAUUUGCCUCAUACCUAUAAUAGCCAGAAGUGCCACUUUUUUUUGCUAGUACUUUUGGCAUUGAAGAAUCUUUAUUACUAGUUUUUUGCUAUUGAAAAUUAUGUUUACUUACAAAAACUGUAAGUAGUGAUGAUGCCUUCAGAACAUUAUGGUACAAAAUCAACAAAUAUCAUAUGCUGUUGCUCAAUGAAAAGCUUGUUAGCCUAAAGCAUAAGAUCCUAUUUUAUGUGAUCUGAGGUGUUUUAGAGUAAUGUUUUCUACUGGCUCUAAAAAAACGUUGCAUUUGGUAAAAAGCUUUGCCUGGAGGACUGUAUUGUUUUGUUUUAAGGUCUUCCACUAACAGUGCCUCCUACUGAGAUAGAAACCUGUGCACUUGAGAAGGAACUGGAUAUUUGUUUUGGGGUUCUUUUAGUUUAUUAGAUGACUGGCUUGUGUAGGGUUUUUUGUUUCUUUUAUUGAUAACAAUUUUCUUACUUUUAAAGAGCUGCUAGGUAGGUGUAUCAGUAUUUAAACUGGAUGUAAACAAGUUUAGUUUGAAAUUUAUGGGAAAACUUGUAAUUACAACAUCUGAUAUACUUUUUAAAUUGAAAAAAUAGUUUGGGUUUCCCAACUGUUCCCUGCUAAGCAGAGAGUGAAAGCUAACAACUUUAGUUGCUCUUAAAAUUUAGUUUAACACUACUUUGAGAAUACAGCUGUCAUUCAGCUUGGAUCACAUAAGAAUAUUGUGUUCCUAGCAAAAAUGUUACUUUUCAACAUACAGUGCCUUUCACUUGAUUCAAAAUGAUUUUCCAUUUAAAUCUUCAAAUACUGAAGGGAUUUUAAAAGCUAGAAAUGUUUACAUUUUAAAACUCUAGUAGUAACAGGAAACUUCAUAGUAUGAAGAAAUUUUGGAUGAAAAUAAGCCCAAAUGUGAUAAUGAUUUAGGAAAAAGACUGAAAUUAUUUGAGAUUUAUAGUAAUAUUUGAAUAAAUCAUCACUUUCACAGACAGAAUACUUAAAGUAUGUUCAAAGAUGGAGAAGGCUAUCUUGAGGAAAGGUGUGAAUGUCUGUGGAUUAAGAGUUUGGCACUGUAUUUUAUCUUCAAUGGUUAAACUUUUUAACUAGUGCACUGAAAACUGUUUGAAAAAGACAGGAAUAUAAGAUUGUACUGUGAAAACUGUCAAAAUAUAUUAAUUAUUUAUCAGAAGUAAUUUUUUAAAAUGUGUUAGUAAUGGGCUAGCAAGUUCAUUCUUUAUUCCCCAAGAUUAAGGUGGGGGGGGAAGGAAGAACAAAGGAACUGAGGCUGUAAAUUUCAUCUUGGCAGACUGAAAGUGGUUUUUGACAGUCCUGCAUUUUAGUCUGAAUAUGCAGGGAAAGCACUGUCAACUUUUUUUAAUUAUGGGACAAACUCUGACUCUGAAAUUUUGAAUGUAUCUAAUUCAUUAAGGUACACAGAACUGUGCCUUUUGUAAAUGUUUAUUUAAACAGGUGGUUUGACUAGUUUACCUUAUUGAAUGGUGUUAUGUAGCAGAGCUUAACAGAACUCCGUUAUUACUUGUGUGGAAAAGAAUUGAAUUGUCAUGUUACUGUGUAAUUGACUUGCUUAAAAAUGAACAAUAAAUUUAAUAAAAUAAA